Molecule: non-coding RNA, 1206 nt
Organism: Macaca mulatta (Rhesus monkey)
Lineage: Eukaryota; Metazoa; Chordata; Mammalia; Primates; Cercopithecidae
Source: RefSeq, a predicted model, not a curated record
AAUGGUACCACCUUUCCCAUGAAGAGAUGAUGAGACAUGGAUUCAUAGUUGUUUUACUUAAACCAGCAAGAGUCAAAGAUUUCCAAAGAUCAUCCCACACGAGAGGAAAUAUGCACGACCAGACUGAAUCCUAUAUGUUUCCAAUGAAAAUAAACUUCCAUCGCCAGUGCCAACAGGAAUUUACACAGGGCCAGGAGAAGUGAGCUCACUCUAAUUAACCGACUGUGUGGCCUCACAGCAUCCUUGCGCCCUGAACGGACUCGCAGUGUGGAAGUCAGACAGCUCACUACGAAACGAAUCGAAUCGAAUCGAAUCGAGGAGUAAAAGUGUGCCUCGCUCCCUGCGGACUAGAACAAGGGUCUCUCGUUGCAGAAGCGGACGACCAUAAUAAAUGAGAAGGCAGAAAGGAGAAACGCAACAAAACCGGGUCCUGCUGGAGAAAGCACACAUCAUAAAGACAUAUGGCAAAAGAUCAAUAUUCAUGCCUCAAACAGGAACCUCCACAACAAGCUCCACAUUUGUAUUAUGGCAGGGAAGGAAAGGCUAUUGUUAGCACUGAGGCUUAUUUACAGCGUCUGGCUGCGUGCUGACUCCCGUCCGUUUCUUAGUAGGGAUUGAGUAGAGCCUGCAGCAGCGAGGGGUCUGGGGGUACUUAGAAGUGAGCGCAUACAACAGAGCAUGGUCUCCGGUGUGGCCAGCAGGUGGAGAUGCAAUGAGGCGGAGGGCACCCUGGAACUGAGCCCACUCACCAAUCCCAGGACUGGGCACGCGGGCUGAUUGCAGAAGCCUGCCUGGCACAGCCAGGUGGACAGAUGCAGACAAAAAGAGGCCGGCGCCCCCUGCUGGUCAACUCGGCUCUGCUUUCCCUCCGCUGCCCAGAGGGGCCCAAGAAACCGGGAAGAGAAUGCAGGACUGGAGGCCAAACCUCCUUCACCAGCUGCCUCCGUGGCCCUGGGCAGGGCGUUUAUUAUCUCUGAGCAUCCGUUUUCUCCAUCUGGAAAGGAAGAACUUCUCCCUGUCAUUCCUAAGUCCCAGGACUGCUGCCAGGGUAAAGUGUGGCAAAUUAUGGGCAUAUGCUAUGAAAAUAGAAGCCAUUUUGGUUAUUGUUCUUAGCACGGCAUUCUUAAAUCAGAGCAAAAAGUGUCUGGGACAUAAAUCUGAAAACAAUACAUUUAAAAUAAAGCAAAGAAUGAAUGGGUGAAAAGU